Molecule: ribosomal RNA, 403 nt
Filed under: uncultured microorganism
Description: bacterial SSU rRNA
Rfam family: Archaeal small subunit ribosomal RNA
Source: RNAcentral
GCGCAGCAGGCGAGAAACUUCACACUGUGCGAAAGCACGAUGAGGGAAUCCCAAGUGCUUGCACGUAAGUGUAAGCUGUUUCUCUGUCUAAAACGCAGAGAGAGUAAGGGCUGGGUAAGACGGGUGCCAGCCGCCGCGGUAAUACCUGCAGCUCAAGUGGUGACCGUUAUUAUUGGGCCUAAAACGUCCGUAGCCGGUUUAAUAAAUGCCUGGGUAAAUUGUGUAGCUUAACUAUACGAAUUCCGGGUAGACUGUUAAACUUGAGACCGGGAGAAGUUAGAGGUACUCCUGGGGUAGAGGUGAAAUUCUGUAAUCCUAGGGGGACCACCAGUGGCGAAGGCGUCUAACUAGAACGGGUCUGACGGUGAGGGACGAAGCCCCGGGGCGCAGACGGGAUUAGAUA